Molecule: ribosomal RNA, 1176 nt
Filed under: Triticum aestivum (bread wheat)
Lineage: Eukaryota; Viridiplantae; Streptophyta; Magnoliopsida; Poales; Poaceae
Description: partial small subunit ribosomal RNA
Source: RNAcentral
AUGAAGAUCCUCAGCUGGAACUGCCGGGGACUGGGGCAGCCCCAGACAGUUCAAGAAUUGGCGUGUCUGGUAAGCACGCACCGCCCGUCUAUCAUUUUUCUUUCUGAAACAAGACGGAAUAAAGAAAAGUUUAGCGGCCUUAGAUGGAGGAUAGGGCUCAAGAACUGCAUGCUUCAUGAUGGUAGAGGAAAAGGGGCGGGAAUCGCCUUGUACUGGGAUGAAAUAGUUGAAAUAAAAAAUCUGGGCCCUCGCUAUAUUGAUGUGCUAGUACGAAAUAACCCAAAUGAGCAGUGGUGGAGAGGUACGUUCGUAUACGGAGAACCAAAAGCACACGAGAGGAUUCAUAUGUGGAACCUUCUCAAGCGAAUUAAACAUAACUCAAAUGCGCCGUGGCUUGUAAUCGGAGACUUCAAUGAAACGCUUUGGCAGAGUGAGCACUUUUCGGCCUCUAAAAGGUCAGAAAGGCAAAUGGCCGAUUUUAGAGAAGUUCUUGACUGGUGCAACCUGUAUGACCUAGGAUUUCGAGGACCAGUGUGGACAUAUGAUAAUAAGCAAUCGGGUCGUAACGAUGUUAAAGCAAGACUGGAUCGGGGAGUGGCAUCCACACCAUGGAGCAAUCGGUUCAGGAAUGCCCAAAUAGAACACAUUUGCUCUACUAGGUCUGACCACCUGCCGUUGCUGCUAUCUUUUGGCAAGAAGCUACAGUACAGAAAGAGAAAAGAGUUCAUGUAUGAGGCUCUUUGGGAAAGGGAAGAAUCGCUACAGGCCACAAUUGAAGAAACGUGGAAAAGUGCAGGGCUAGCUUUGAACCUACAGGACAUAAAAAACAAACUGCGUAUCCUGCAGGACAGACUGAUAAAAUGGAGUUCUCUGAAGAUUGGUUCUAUAACACGCAAAACAAAUAAGCUUCGGCAACGCCUACAGGCUCUAAUGAACAGACCCCCAAACCAAGAAAAUGACAGAGAAAUUGGGCUGGUAACUAAAGAGCUGGAUGAACUACUACUGAGAGAGGAAAUAUUGUGGCUUCAAAGAUCGAGAGCCACGUACCUACGCGAGGGGGACAGGAAUACAGAUUGGUUUCACCGCCAAGCCACUUGGAGAAAGAAACAAAACACAAUAGUGAAACUAAUGACAGAAGAUGGCAAAAUGGGUGGAACAGAGGAAGGAGCUUCAUAA